CGUCAAUAGAAGACCACACCCGUCGUCAUCAUCAUCGAUCCAUAUUUAUGUUGGAGCGAGAGCAGGGCAGAGAUAGAGAGCGCUCCGAAAAUGGCGUCAUCACUGUCAGCAGCUUCCCUCCCCUUCUCUUCUCUCCGGCCACCGGCUUGCACCAAAAUGAGGGCCACAACAAUCCUCCGAGCCACCGCGUCCUUUGCCCCGUUGGACCCCGCCGCUCCUCUCCUCCGCGCGGCCAAGUACACUGUGGACAAAUACGUUAACAGUGGGAUGGUAGUUGGGUUAGGAUCUGGUCUUGCUUCUGGCAUGGCCAUAAAGUAUCUGGGCCAGCAGCUUCGUGCUGGUGCUCUUGAAGAUAUUGUUGGGAUUGCCACGUCUGUUGCCAGUGCAAGUGAAGCAGCUAAGGCUGGAAUACCACUGGAUAACUAUCAAGAAAAUUCUCAAAUCGACUUUGCAUUUGAUGAUGCUGAUAUUAUAGAAGAAGAAACACUUAUUGCAGUCAUUGGGCAUAGUAGAUUGCAAGGUGAAGAGUCCAUUAUUCAAGAGAAGAGUAUACUAACUGCAGCCAAGAAGCUUGUAUUCAUGAUUAUGGAAAGCAAGUACAGAAGCACUCUAGAGGGUUCUGUUCCAGUUUUAGUUCAAUCUAUCAAUUGGAUGGAGACAGCUGAAGAGAUUGAUGACCUGUUCUUGGGUGAUGCAGAGGUCUGGAGGAGGCCAUCAAUAGGCCACGCUGAUCCCCUUGGAGGCGAUUACCCAUUGAUCACCAAAGAAGGGCACAAUGUUCUCGAUGUCAUAUUCACAUCUCCAAUUACAAGUCUCGCUGAAGUGGCUGAGAGCUUAGAUAAAAUCAAUGGGGUUGUAGACCAUGGAGUUAUUUCAAAGUUCCCAUGUACCGUGGUGGUUGCCUCAGAGACUGGACUUGAAGUUAUUGACAAUGUGGCAGCUAACGCAGUUGGGAAUCCUGCAACAUGAAUAUCUUCGAGUUUUGAUUCUUUAUUGGCUCACAAUGUCACGAUUCAAGGGAAGUGUGAAGACUACCUGAUAUGAAUGAGUAAAACAAAAGAAGAGAGCAGUAAAACAACCCAAAUUUUUGUACUUCGAGGAAAUUUCCAGCCAUAUUUGGUACAGUGGGUGAGUGCGGUUUUUUCAGAUCGGGGACCGGAACUGAAUAUGAUGAAAAAUCCAACCCAAGGUGAGUACGGUUUUAAGGGCCUGUUUGGUUUCAUGAUGUGAUUUUAGAAUCAUGAUUUUGAUUUUAACUCUACCCACUACACAACAAAAACACAUGUUUUCCAAGUCAAAUUUAUAAUAUCAUCUCAUUUGUCUUUUUCCACAAUCAAAAUCAAAAUCAAAAUCAAACUUAAUUUAACUUUGAAACCAAACGCCCCCUAAAUGUUUGAGUAAGCUAUCAACUUAGUCCUCGAAUGUUUGCAUCGCCAUCACUUUAGUACCUGGAAAAUUUUUGCCAUCAAAAUGACAUAACAUUCUCAAUUUCAUUAUACAAAAUGGUCCCGCCUUCAAAUCCAUUGACAGAACCAUAACGGAAAUCCUAUGUGAACGUUGACGUGGCUCACAGAACACUGAUAACCAAUAAGCUCGAGACACGUAUAUAAGAAAUUAUUUAAAAAAGAUUAAAAAACUAAGAUGACAAUUAAAAGAAACAUGGAGGGAGAGUAGAUCUCCCUUGUCGGCCUCUGGCUGCGUCCCCUCAUAGGCGCGGUUGUCGGAGCCUUCACGAGUAUUUAGCAACCCCGCGAAUUGGGGGUGGAGGCCGGAUGGGAGCCCCAUGAUCUUCUCCUCCAAGCUGCCUCUCUUGCACAAUAAAUUGGGGGAUCCAUGGAAUUUGUGCAAACCGGGCAUUCGAACAAUUUGUGCCCCUUGAUCUUCUUAUUCUUGGGUCUUAUAGGGUAUUAUAGGCUAUUUGUUAGAGGGUUUAGUAAUAUCAGCAAACCUGUUAGUGAUCUCCUUAAUAAAGAUUCUUUUCAGUGGGGAGUAGAGGCUCAAGCAGCUUUUGAGACACUUUAAGAAGGCCAUGGUUUCCACCCCAGUAUUGACACUUCUUGAUUUUUCUAAGAAAUUCAUGGUGAAAACUAAUGCAUCAAGGGCAGGGAUUGGGACUGUCUUAACUCAAAUUGGGCACCCAUUGCGUAUAUCAGUAAGAUCCUGGCACCAGAACAUCAAGCUCUAUUAGUUUACGAAAGGGGACUUUCAGCCAUCAUUUACGCUAUUAAGAAAUGGCAUCACUACCUCAGCGGUGAACAUUUUUUUAUCAAGACAGACCAUAAGAGCUUGAAGUACUUAUUGGAGCAAAGACUCAAUACUCCUUUUCAGCACACAUGGCUUGCAAAGUUGUUAGGCUAUGAUUAUGAUAUUUGCUACAAGAAGGGCUAGGAAAACAAAAUGGCUAAUGCACUUUCAAGGAUACCUUGUUAUAAGUCAACUUUGAUAGCCUUAUCAGCAGUUUCGUGGGAUGUAUACAACAAGAUACAAUAAAGUUGGGAGACUGACCUUCAUCUACAAAAGAUCAUUGUUGAAUUGCAGGAAGAUCCAAUAUCUCAUCCUAAGUUUUCAUGGGAAAGAGGGGGCAACUAAGAAGGAAAUGAAGACUUGUGUUGGGCAACAACCAAGAAUUGCAAAAGGAAAUUCUAACAAUGCAUCACUCGGGCUCUAUGGGAGGACAUUUAGGGACUUAAGCUAUUGCAAAGAGGAUCUCUAGCUAGCUGUAUUGGAAGGGGUUGUGGAGACAAGUUCGAGAGUUUGUCAGAGAAUAUUUAGUUUGUCAACAAAAUAAAGCCGAGCAUAGGGCUUAUCCUAGUUUUUUACAGCCACUACCCAUGCCAAGAUCCAUUUUCACAGAUAUUACGAUGGACUUUAUUGAAGGACUGCCUAAGUCUCAAGGGAAAAAUGUCAUAUUUGUGGUGAUCGACAGAUGUUCUAAGUAUGCACAUUUCAUGGCCUUAUCUCAUCCCUACACACUGCAUCAAUCGCUCAAGCAUUUGUGGAUGGCGUGUUCAAACUUCGUGGCUUGCCAGAAACAAUUAUACGCGAUCGAGACCCAGUUUUCUUGAGCGCUUUUUGGCAAGACAUGUUCAAGCUUUAGGGUGUAGGGCCGAUAACUUCUUCUGCCUACCAUCCACAAACGGAUGGACAGUUAGAGAUGUUUAGAGACUUAUCUACGUUGUAUGAUGAUCGACAAGCCUUGCACCUGGGCUAAGUGGCUACCCAUGGCUGAGUGGUGGUACAACACCAUAUACCACACGACCAUCAAAUUGAUACCUUUUGAGGCCUUAUAUAGGUUUCCUCCUCUUUUGCAUAUGCCUUACUUCCCUCGAGAUUCUAGUGUUGCAUCGGUGGAUUCAUACUUGAAGGACAUGGAGUUAAUGAUUCAUCUCCUUAAGCAUCAUCUGCAUAUGGCACAAAACAUUAUGAAAUUCCAGGCUGAUGAGAAGAGAUCGGAGACAAGUUUCUCUAUAGGGGAUUGGUUGUACCUGAAACUGCAACGUUAUAAGCAGGAGUCAAUGGGUAAUCGAAGCUGUCAGAAGUUCUCCCCUCGAUAUUAUGGUCCAUUCAAGAUAUUGGACAAGAUAGGGGAAGUGGCAUAUAAGCUGGAGUUGCCUUCCUCAGCUGAAAUUCAUCACACUUUUCAUGUGUCACAGUUGAAGAAGGCAGUAGCGUCUGCAACUACUAUGUAGGUGCUUCCAUUGCCUCAAGAACUUAUUACUAUUGAGAGCAAGCAACCAUUAGCAAUUUUGGAAAGGAUGAGAGGAGGAUGAUGAAGCAAGGAAAUAAGGCAGCAAUUCAACUCCUCAUUCAUUAGUCUCAGUCAUCACUAGUUGAAGCCACUUGGGAAUUUGCAAAUGAUAUCAGGAUGCGAUUCUCUCACUUCAACCUUAAGGACAAGGUAUCUUAAGGGGGAGGUAAUGUAAUGAACUGGAAGUUUGAGAAAAGGGAAAAGCUAUAAUAAAGCUAAUUUGAAUGGUGCGGAUGUAAUAAUCGAUAGUCGAGGGAUCUUUCUGCUAGUAUAGCUGAUCCACUCUUGGGAUCAGUGCAUUCGAUUAGAAAGACAGAGAGGGAGAGAGUGAGCUAUUUAACCAGAGACAAUCAUCACUUUCAAUAUCCAUUCUGUGAAGGUGAUCAUUGUUGUUGAGUUGAAAUCAUCCAUCAUCAUCUUUGAAGGCAUUCUCUCUC
Non-coding RNA from Punica granatum (pomegranate), 4185 nucleotides. Lineage: Eukaryota; Viridiplantae; Streptophyta; Magnoliopsida; Myrtales; Lythraceae. The record is from RefSeq and is a predicted model, not a curated record.